CAGUGGGGGCAUGUCGAGAAAAAACUAGGAAGGGGAAGGAGCAGGGGCUGCUGAAGGGUUAAAGGCGGCCUGCAAGGGGGCAACAAGAAUCUUCCUCCCACCUCCAGAGUUAAACACACCUCUCCUCUCGCUUCUUUCUUGGCAGAUUGUUGUCCACUUUAUCCAUUUACUUAAUUUUCAGGUGUUCCAGGAAGCCUCAGAUCAGUGGAUUUUCAUCACCAGUUGUGCAAAGAGAUUCCAUGCAGCUGACUUGUCAAACAUCUGAUAGUAGACCUGCAGCUCCUAAUUGCACAGCGUUCUAGGGCACAAGAGUGCAGGUCCAAAUGAAGAAAAACAAGAUCCUUGACUUAGGGGCAUUUAAGAUGUCUUUGGGGAGGUAAAACAAGGCAAAAAAACGGCAGGGGUUUAGCAAUGACAUGGUUCAUCCUGAUGGAUACUGAUUCAUGGACAACAAAAACAGGUUCUACUAUUUCUUCCGCCUUGAGACUGCAAGGUUAGUUUAAAAAAAAAUUAACAAUUUCAACUAACUCUCCAAUAAGGAUGUUUCUGAUUUACUCCAUAUUGUGCAACCAAAAAGAGUAAAGAAAUAAAUUGGAAGCAGAGGUUGAUGUAAA
Cebus imitator (Panamanian white-faced capuchin) is the source of this 614-nucleotide long non-coding RNA. RefSeq lists it as uncharacterized. The transcript is spliced from 2 exons. NCBI's taxonomy places the organism in Eukaryota, Metazoa, Chordata, Mammalia, Primates, Cebidae. The record is from RefSeq and is a predicted model, not a curated record.